CGCUUUACCGUGCUGUCAGACAGCCAUUUUCUUCUGGCACUACAUUUUCUCACCCGAAGGACUUCCGUAAUCCUACGCAUACGCGCCGCUCGCACAUCAGCUUUUAGGUCGUAGUUCAAGCGGUUUAUUGAAGAGACAACAAAUACAAGAAAAUAAAAAUGAGUGAUUAUGACAGCGACGAAGAAAUACGGUUCACUGUGGAGACAAGAGGAUGCCUUUAUGAGCCGGAGUAUACAGAAGAAGAACUGCUGCAGAUGGAGACUGAACGGGCUGAAAGAGAGAGAGAGAGGAGAAACUUCUGUGGAAACUAGAGGCCGAGCUGGAGGCCGAGAGAUGGAGGCCCAAGAUACCUGGUGGUGCAGAUGUAUAAACUGUGAGCCCAGUUUAUACAGGCAGCGCCUCGCACAAAGUCUGCAUCCCCAACCAUCCAGAGUUACCUGCCUUAUUGACUGCUGGUUUCUUGCGGACCUUCUUCAAUUUUCCGAAGAGAAAUUGGAAAAAACGUCCCAGACCGGAAGGGCCUAAUGACAGUUUGUCUUCAAAAGCUGAGCGUCUGCGGCGGAGCAGCUGUCUGCUUCUCCAAGCUGGCUGCCGGCCGACCCCCAUCUCCUGUAGGUAACACACUGACUAUCGAUAAGUACCUCAUAUAUACCCGAACUAUCCCUUUAAAAGUAGUAAGUACAGCUUGAAUACUAAAUAGUCACAAUCAUAAAAACACAGACAUGAUUGUGGAUUGUAGUUUAUCUGCUAUGAAAACUAAAAAAUCCCUACUUUACUCUUUACUUUUCACAAUGCAAAGUGCAAAAUCUUUCUUCUUGCAAAUACCAUCCAUUAAGAACUUCAGAAAAGAUAAAAUCAAACUUUUCCUCCUUAUCCUGUCUUACUCCACUCUAAACAUAACACCGCACCUAUUUCUGUACUUUACCCCUUCAGGAAACCUAAAACAGGAGUAAUUCAAAUGCAAAAUGUUAUAAAAGCAAAAUAAGUUUCUGUGCACAAAAUUUGUGAAAACUGUCCAAACAGACUUACAGGACCUUGUCAUAGCUAGGUGACAUGGCAUCUCCUUAACCUGGAUAAAGCUGAUGUUGCUCACCUGUGGAGCUACAGUAAAUAAGCAGGAAGGGCAAGAUGGAGGAUGAAGACAGAGAGAGGGAGGAAGAGGAGGAAAAGGUACAACAGCAGCAAACAAACAUGGAAGUGGAGUUAAAAAAGGAAGGUUAGAGUUUGAGGAGGACACCAGGGACCGUGAGAGACCCAGUAAGGCUGAGGUACUCACAGGCUGCAGUUUAUGCUUGAAGCUCAUGCUGAAGCGCACCACAGGGUAAACAGCGGGAGAAGACUAAAAGACUGCAAGAGAGAGCGAGGGAGAAGGCAAUCUCUGUCCAUCUGUAUCUCCCUCCCUCUUGCUCUCUCGCUCAUGCUCCCUGCCUGUAGCCCAACCCUCACAGCGGGAUCCUUUUUCAAACAUAAAAAAUUAUCCAGGUUCUCUAUGGAUGACAGCAUCCGCCUCCUCCACUAGUGCUCAACAAGCAAUAACUGCUAAAAGUCAAAGUAGGUCCUGCUUGACAUGACAAAAGACGAAACAGUCAAGUUGUAAUUGAACUAUGAUGCCAGUGCUUUCCUGUAACACUCUACUGUAUAUUCUUCACUAUUGACUACAACUUUUAGGCAGCCUGAUUUAUGGUUAGCUAAAUAAUACUGUGUAUUAACAUGUGUUACAACCAUGUCUGUUUGUUUUGUGUGUUUGUAUUUUUUGCAUAAUCCUCUUUGAGUCAGCAAAUUAUGGACAUAGAAAAUUAAAUCCAUGUUGUGCUGAUUCUGAGGUCACGUGUUGUUCUAUAAGUUACUCAAAGUCAUUAUUGCCUCAAAAAGAGACAGAUUAAAUACAUUGUACUUUUUUAAAACUAUGGCUGUAAUAUUAUAGUAGUGGCAUGUAUGAUUUAGAUUUUUCUAAAUAAUUGGAUAGUUUAGUACAUUUUUGUGUAAUUAACUGAUUGUAUUUAAAGAAACUAGAAAUUACCUCAUAUUCCACCCAGAUGUGGGCAUGAACUUAUAAUGUCUCUAACACCCAGUGAUGGUUGCUCUUGUAUAAUAAGUUUGAUCAAUCAGCAUGUUUAGAUCAUAACCCUUAGUGAAUAUAAACUUGUUUAACACAUACUUCAACUGUACACAGACACUUAUGUCACACAUUUUGAAAAUCAUGGUGCUCCCUUCCAAUUUAAACUGCAUCCAGAUUCCUCUACAGUUUCCUGUUGUAAGCUCAUUCAAAGCCAGGGGGCACCAUAUAAACACACUUCUGCUUUCCCAAACCACACACACUACAGUUACAGUGCACUGGGGCUUCUCUACAGUAACCAGUCUUUUACAAGCUACAGCCUCAUCAAUCACACUGUGUGCUUCAUGUUAUGCAGACAAAUCAAUAUGAACAAAGAUCAAUGACAGCCUUCAUUUCCCUUUCUGUAAGGUGCCAAUCGAAAUCCAAUUAUAAAGUCAGGAUAACAAGAAUUUUGUAUUGUAUAACGGAACAUAACCAAAAGUAAAGGCAACAUAUGCUUAUAGAUUUAGUUAUAAGUAAACAACAUGUUAAAACUUGCACUUGGUGUGGUUAUUGACCACUGCUGCAGUUUGUUCCCACAUGGCAGCAGCAACGAUUACUGUGAACUAAAACCUGACCUGCAGGGCUUGGCUUUAGUCUGUGACCCCACGACUAUGAUACGACUGCGAGUCAAUUCAAGCUGUUUUAACAGGACAAAAACUCAAACUGGCACCAACAUGAAGACGGCUAGAGGGGACUGCAGUGUGAUUUAGUGGGCAGUUGGAGGUUUGACAGAUGCACAGAGAGCAUGCCCUCCACUUCCAUUAGCUCCAGAGGCCAAGGUCACUGGCAGCGUCAAGCCACCGAGUGCCGCUCAAUAGCCUCACAGCCGUCGCCCUUUUUACUCACUUUCAUAACUACAUCUCACCAGAACCCGUCUCCACUCUCACAGAAAGCUUCACAGACACUCUGUGAUCCCCACACACACCCACACCAUCUGCUUAUGCAUCCUUAGACACUCAACAGUGAGUGCCUCCUUUUCUUUGCUGCCUACUGCUUAGAUACAACAAUACCUCAGGCUGUGAAUAAAACACUCUUAUAACUAUAACACAAUAAUGAUCAAUUUAAUUUGACACAAAACAUUUUAAACAAAUGCAUGUUUUGCUACCUUCUUACUAAAUAACUAAAACAACAUCGGUUUAGUCUAUUUUCAGUUAAUGAAAGUUUUAAAUGUUUGUAUGUGUUUCCAAAGAAAAGUGUUUUUAUUUCUGGGUUGGAAUGAGAAGAGGUAGAUUUAUGCAAAUGGACAAGCAGAGACAACCAACAUGGCUGAUGGGACAAAUAAAAAACUACAGAAACUUAAAGUCCCCCUCCACUCAAAAAUGUGUUUUAUUAUUGUUAAUUCACUUGGAUGUUUGAGCAUCACUGUGCAGAAUGAUGUAUGUGCAGAGCUUGACACUAGAAGCCUGUUUUCACAUUCAUCUGCUCAAGGGGGAAAGUUUCUCUGUGCGGUAAAUCUCAAUUUAACAUGUGUACAUACAAACAUGACUUUGUGACAUCACAACUAGUUUAGAAAGCCAAUCAUUGGCCCAAUAUGCAACUUACACAAGUGUGAUGUGGAAACUUGAAGCCUCCAGUGCACAUACACUAAGAAUGGACUUUUCAUUAAAGUAUGAGACAUUUUGUGUCCAGUAGUUUAACUUUUGAAUAUUAAUAGAUUCUGGAUUUUUUAAUGAGGGAGAAGGAGAAGAUGCAAUUUUAAGGAAUUUUAACAAGAUAAUAGAAGUUUUUCUGUGGAAAAACCACAUGAGACAAAUUAUUAUUCAAAGCAGUCAUUUUUUAUGUCUUAAUGAAUGUCUGGAGGACAUCAUAGAGUGUUUGACAGCUAAAACACCAAAGCAUAACCUAAUGCACUAGGAUUUCACAGAAUCUAUCCACAUCACACCAAACACAUACAAAAGACAAUACUAAAAGUAUAGUAUUGUUUUCCAUCAAACAAGAUAAAAUUUCUGCAAAAGUGGCCAUAUAAUUUAUCAUUUUUAAUGCAGUUUUCAGAGGGAGAUUCAUAAAUUGCCACUAGAUUGUUAAUUUAUAUAAUGUUAUAAAACAGCUAUUGAAACAAGUUGAUUUGUACUGGAAACAGGUCAAAAUAUCUUAGCCCUUUGACUAAAAACAAGAUUUAAAGGCAUAAAAUUGUUGUUAAGAUGAAGAAGACCUGAGGAAGAUUGUGUGUGGUCUGUCAACAGGAGACAUACCAGAGACAGAUAGCUGUAAUAACUACACUCUACCAUCCAACCGAAACAUACCGAAGAGUAAAACAAACCUACUGAGCAGCAGACAAACACUCCACUGCCAUGCUAACAGAGGAGCGCUCACUUUUUAUCCAAACUUGUACUUGACGUCAACAGAGUCGAGAUAACAAGUUAAGUGUUCUGCCAGGCCUUUUAGGAGGCCUUCUGUUUGUGCCAGUCAGUUUUUCCAGGGCCACAGAAGCCACGUUGCUUCCGCAUUGUGCAGCGAGUCACAGCCAGCUGUCGAUACCACUGUCCCUCCUGGUGUGAAGAAGUGAGAUCUCACCACUACCAAGGCAGCAACAUUCAAUCACAAAGCAGUCACAUACAAUAACAGUGCUGCGCAAAUAGAUUUCAAAUUUAGGACCCAUUGAUGAACGCACAUUUAGAAGCUAUGCAUGCUACAUGUCUGAUAGUGGCCGUUAUUUCUGGCGAAUACCUAAAUCCUGUCUGAGUUUAAUAGAGAUUUGUACAAUGAUGAAUUUAAAUGCCUACAGGCAGACUCAAUUCUGUAUCUAUAGGUUAGGUGCCAUCAAAUUUUGCAGGAACGCUGGGAGUUACAAUCAUCUAAAUUUGGUAGCAUUUGCACAUUGUGUUCUGUAUCAAAUAUUAUGCAAUUUCACCUCAAUCUAAUAUAUUUGCAGUCUCAUGCAAAUAUAUUAUAUACCAAUUGGGGAAGAUUGCAUGCAUACUGAUCGAUUCAUCUUGAACCAAGAAAUCCAAAGAAAAAAUAACUUUGUUUACCCUACACCACAGAGUUAAGGGGAUUCUUCAAAGAAGCAUUUUUACGGAGUUAUCUGGAUUACUUUGCUGAGUAAAACAUGGACCAAUUCUUUUUAAUUCAAUCAUAUUCCAGAUUUGAUGAAGGCUGUCUGUCAACACAACCAAAUGUAAAGUGCUUUACAAAUGGCCUGAUGCUCAUGCUCUUGUAUCUAGAUUUUCACCAAAAACUACAUAAUUUGUUCCUUGGCCCAUGGCCCAAUUUCCUACCAAAUUUCAUUGAAAUCUGUUAGCAAGUUUUUGAGCUAUCCUGCUAAAUUACAAACCAACAGCCAAACAAACAGAUAAACUGGGCCAAAAACACUACCUCUUUGGCUCAGUGUGUUUGGAAUGAAAGUCAACUGACCUUUGUGGAAGCCCCUCAGAUAAUCUGGGUUAAUGUGAUGCACUGAGGGAGCCCCACAGUGUCCGACAGGCGGCUCUGUCCUGGACCUGGAACAGGCAACUACAUGACAUUUUGGUUGUGAGUGUGUGUGUGUGUUGGUGCAGAUGUGUAAAGUAAAUACAUGUAUUCAAUCAAGUAGUAAACUAUUUCAGUACUUACAAUUUUGAGGUGCCACUACUUUGAAUAUUACCAGUUUAUAUUAUUACCGGUUUCUGAGACUACUUUUUCUCUAAAUUUCUGAGGUAAAUAUUGUGGUUAGUAUUCCACAACAUUUAUCAAACGGCUUCAUCUAAGAGUCACUUUGCAAAUUCAGAUUUAAUAUUCAAUUUAACAUAAGCUCAUAAAAUGUGCAAACAAUUCCAAAAAGAAAGUCUCUGAAAUAUUAUUAUAUUUAUAUUAAUAUUAUAUUUUUAGGAACCCAGGGAAACAAGUGUGCUUCACCUUGACAACACAAUGUCUUUUAGACAUUAACUAGAGGGUUUUAGAAGAAUUUCUUGAAGUGCACAGGAGUAUGUUAUGCUUCAAUUGAUCUGAAAGCAGGAAAAAUCUCGAACUACACUUCGUUGUUUCAUUAUCUCCAAUUUCCGGAAUUGAACACUUGCACAUUUUACUGAUAAUACUUAUUUAUUUGCAGAAACUUGUAUUGGAGUAUUUUUCCAUUGUGGUUCUUCUUCCACUGCUGUGUGUGAGGUAACAGUGUGCCAAAAUGUGCACAGAGACACGGUAGUGUGAUGACAGGUGGCUGAUGAGUGUGUUCUACUGCUGGUGCCAUAGAUGUCACACCUCAGAGACAAUGACUGGAUGUGACAGUGCGACUAGAUCAACUACAAUUAUGGCCAACAACCUGACCUUAUCGACAGGAAUGCGUCCCAGUCAGACACUCACUGCUGUUGGUUCGGUGGUCUCCAGGUCGACUGUUCCAUUCCGCCCUGAUGCCAUCAAUGUCGUCCAGUGAUGAGGCGCGUCGGAGGCUGCGGACACUGUCUCGAGAACAGCUCCGAGGUAACGUCCCCCUGGGGAAGGCGAUGCUGGGGUCCAGCCGGUCUGUCAGCAGGGAGCGCUGCUUGGUGGAGGACUGGGCUACAGGGGAGGGAGGAUCCAGGUCUUGUUCUAUCAGAGCUUCUGUCUCAGACUGCAUGCAGCUCUCCUUGGACGGGAUCCGAAACUCUUUGAGAGGGACUUCCUCGCUGUUUGGCUGUCAAGGACAGAGAGUAGGAGGCCAUGUCUCAGGUGUAGAAAAAUUCUAAAAAACCACACGCUAUGAGUAUUUCUUAGAAAAAUAUUAUCUGUCAGCAGCUUUUCCAAAAUUCUGUUGUGAUUUGCAAAUCAGGUCAACCAAGCGUAUAGCCUACAAUACAAAGUAGACCUGUAAAAGAAAGGAAUGUUUCAUUCAUUUUCAUUCCUGCCCAACAUGUAAGUUUGCCUGACUUGGCCCCGUACAGUUCCGGUGUCAGGUAUGGAUACUGUCGGGAAAUAGUUUCUCACAAGAAGUGAUUUAUCAAAACACAAGAGAAGUCUAAACAGAAGUAAUGGGAGACUGAGAAGAGAAAGAUGAACUCAGCAAUUGUAGAUUUUUUUCCACUCAUUCUUCCCUUUGGUGUCUUUUGGGCUGAGAAAUCAGUUCUUUAAUUUCAAACAAUGCUCACUGCUGUUUUAUUCGGCCAACACGUGAAACUGCACAGUGCAUAUUCAAUGGUUGGAAUUUCAUACGUGAAAAGCCCACACCAAAAGAGUUUGUUGUCUCUAAAUAAUUUGAGUGUAGAAGGUUUUUUGUUUUGUGCUCUCCAUGCAUGUGUGAAUAACAGUAAAGUCAGUGUAGAGGCAGUGUCAGCAGUAAGUUAAAAAAUGAUGUCAUUGCAUAGGGCAUGCAUAGUAGAUAUGUAGUAUUACUUUUUUUGUAUAGAUUUUAGCUACUGUCACAUGUCAGUACAUACUACAGCAGAAUGCAAGGCAUGCAUACACACAAGCAUACUACAUUGCAAGAUCUCUUGUGUGUGUUGUAAGUGUGUGUACACCACCUCACCUGCAGGUAGUCCACUACCACUCCUUCAAACUGAUCUUUGGAAAGUGAAUGUCGUCGCAUGGACCGCAGCACCGGCAGCCUCAUCUUCAACCUGCGAUUCUGACCUGAGGGGGAAACUGUGUUCAGCUCAGCCAUUAUCAAAACUCCAACUUUAUCUACUACAAAUGAUGUUCAUAUGCAAUUAUUUUGUAUAACCCAAAAUACUUUUUGGGACACACUUUCACCUGGAUUAAGUUUUUUUUACUGCAUCAGACAGGGUCUUCUUUUUGUACAUGUACAGUUGGUAAUUCCUACUAUGUCCAUGACUGUAAACUAAAACCAUGGUUUAGUUAAUAAUUAAAAUGUCCACACUGACCACUGUGA
Long non-coding RNA from Siniperca chuatsi (mandarin fish), 7877 nucleotides. RefSeq lists it as uncharacterized. NCBI's taxonomy places the organism in Eukaryota, Metazoa, Chordata, Actinopteri, Centrarchiformes, Sinipercidae. The transcript is spliced from 4 exons. The record is from RefSeq and is a predicted model, not a curated record.